GUGAUACUUGUAAAAAAUUUUAUAUACAUAUACUAUUUUUUUCAAAAAUAUUGAAAAAUCUAAAAUGGUACAUUAAAACAAAGUGGUCCUUGUAUGCACCAAUUCCAAUAGAAAAAUUAUGCGUCUAUUGGUGUAGUACUGACUACCUUGUUACUAACACCAACCAAUAUAGAAGGAUGUCGGGGAUUCGAAGGUAGAGCUAGAAAAAUAGAUUUGAGCCCAAAAGCUCACCCGCA
Molecule: long non-coding RNA, 236 nt
Filed under: Gossypium barbadense (sea-island cotton)
Lineage: Eukaryota; Viridiplantae; Streptophyta; Magnoliopsida; Malvales; Malvaceae
Description: long non-coding RNA (GBAR_LNC014835)
Source: RNAcentral